Molecule: ribosomal RNA, 494 nt
Filed under: uncultured bacterium
Lineage: Bacteria
Description: partial 16S ribosomal RNA
Rfam family: Bacterial small subunit ribosomal RNA
Source: RNAcentral
GACGAACGCUGGCGGUGUGCUUAACACAUGCAAGUGGUGCGACGAACCAGAGCUUGCUCUGGGGCAAAGCCGCGAACGGGUGAGUAACACGUGGGUAAUCUACCCCGAUGACCGGGACAACCCGAGGAAACUCGGGCUAAUACCGGAUGUGGUGCGGAGACAUAAGUCUCUUCACUAAAGGUAGCUUCGGCUUCCGCAUUGGGAGGGGCCCGCGGCCCAUUAGCUUGUUGGUGGGGUCAAGGCCUACCAAGGCAACGAUGGGUAGCUGGUCUGAGAGGACGAUCAGCCACACUGGGACUGAGACACGGCCCAGACUCCUACGGGAGGCAGCAGUGGGGAAUCUUGCGCAAUGCGCGAAAGCGUGACGCAGCAACACCGCGUGAGGGAAGAAGGCCUUAGGGUUGUAAACCUCUUUCAGAUGGGACGAAGGUUCUCCGGUGAAUAGCCGAGAGGAUUGACGGUACCGUCAGAAGAAGCUCCGGCUAACUACGUGC